GAAACUCAAAGGAAUUGACGGGGGCCCGCACAAGCGGUGGAGCAUGUGGUUUAAUUCGAAGCAACGCGAAGAACCUUACCAGGUCUUGACAUCCUCUGACAAUCCUAGAGAUAGGACGUCCCCUUCGGGGGCAGAGUGACAGGUGGUGCAUGGUUGUCGUCAGCUCGUGUCGUGAGAUGUUGGGUUAAGUCCCGCAACGAGCGCAACCCUUGAUCUUAGUUGCCAGCAUUCAGUUGGGCACUCUAAGGUGACUGCCGGUGACAAACCGGAGGAAGGUGGGGAUGACGUCAAAUCAUCAUGCCCCUUAUGACCUGGGCUACACACGUGCUACAAUGGACAGAACAAAGGGCAGCGAAACCGGGAGGUUAAGCCAAUCCCACAAAUCUGUUCUCAGUUCGGAUCGCAGUCUGCAACUCGACUGCGUGAAGCUGGAAUCGCUUUAAUCGUGGAAUCAGGCAGGAGUCCGGUCAUUC
RNAcentral lists this ribosomal RNA (473 nucleotides) under Bacillus amyloliquefaciens. RNAcentral's name for it is "bacterial SSU rRNA". It matches the Rfam family "Bacterial small subunit ribosomal RNA", at positions 896 to 1368 of the family's 1533-position model. The record is from RNAcentral. Lineage: Bacteria; Bacillati; Bacillota; Bacilli; Caryophanales; Bacillaceae.